GCUAAGCAUCUGCUGAGGGCUCACUGUGCCUCUGUUUGUUCUCACUAUGUCAUGAUGGAAGACAAAAGCCACAUAGUAUCACAAAACGGCAAGCCUUUUGAGGUGUUCCCAUUAUGCAGUGGUUGGUACCUACCAAAAGUGGUGCAAGGUAGGACAACUGAUAAAACCGGGUCAUGGGUGCACAAGGCUCUUUGAUGCAUGUGGGGAGCAAAGGCUAGGCCGUCUGGUC
Molecule: non-coding RNA, 229 nt
Organism: Pelobates cultripes (western spadefoot toad)
Lineage: Eukaryota; Metazoa; Chordata; Amphibia; Anura; Pelobatidae
Source: the annotation of a GenBank genome assembly